Long non-coding RNA from Pan troglodytes (chimpanzee), 11133 nucleotides. RefSeq lists it as uncharacterized. The transcript has 4 exons. NCBI's taxonomy places the organism in Eukaryota, Metazoa, Chordata, Mammalia, Primates, Hominidae. The record is from RefSeq and is a predicted model, not a curated record.
CUGGAGGAGGGUAAGAGAAGCAGUUGGUGGACGCCGUUUAUUCUGGUCCCAGUCCCGGAAGGGCCACAACCAUGGUUGCUCCAGGCUUUGCUGGCAGAGGGAGAAGAAGAGAAGCAGCUGGAUGCCAGAGACUACAGUUGGACCUCAAAGAGAAGCAGCUUGACUUCAAAGGAGCAGUUCAACGGCAUUGCUUUGGAGAGGAGUCUGGCUAAGGACGGCUGGACUUUGGGGGAAGAUUACCUUCCCACUGUAUCUCCUUUUUAGCUCCCUUUUCCACUGAGAGCCACUUUCAUUGGCAAUAAAAUCCCCCUCAUUUACCAUCUCCAAUUUGUUCGUGUGACCUCAUUCCUCCAGGACGCUGGUCACGAACUCGGGUGCAGGUGCCAAAGGCUGUCACACUGACCCUCCACUGAGCUCUUAACACCUUAACCAUCCAAGGAUGGCGAAGCUAAAAGAGUACUGACUAUAACACUCCUUCUGGGGCUUCAGGGAUUGUGGGCACCCUCCUAGAUGCUGCUGCAGAUCCAGCAUGGAGUUAAUUCCUGCUGGUGCCCAAAGCACUCGCCCCGGCUCCUGCACCCACUCACCUGCAUGCUCCCUCCCGCAGAGAGAUUGAGUGCAGUGAGUUAGAGUGAAUGGAGUUUGCCCCUGAUGAUGCCUGUGCACUCCAGUUCUUGCCUGCAAAUGGGUCAGGGAAAAUUUCCUGCUUCACUGUUACCAAAGUCCAGGGACUACCACUGUCUCUCACAUCACCUGGUUCAAAUUGAUCUUUCUGCAUUGGCCUCCCAAAGUGUUCUUAGGAGUGAGCCACCAUGCCCAGCCUCCUUUGCCAAACACUUUUAAUUCCCAUUUCUUGAUUUGUUUCUUUCUCUAAUACACUAUACAGACAGUCCCCAAAUCUAACAAUAGUUAGUUACACAUGAUUUUUUGAAUUCAUAAUGAUGCAAAAGCCAUGUGCAUUCAGUAUGCUCCUCAAUUUAUGAUGGGUUUGCAUCCAAAUAAACCCAUCUUUAAAUUGAAAAUGUCAUAAUUCAACUUAUAUUAUUUUCCACUUACAAUGGGUUUAUUCGGAUGUAGCCCCAUCAUAAGUCGAGGAGCAUGUGAAUAUUUUACUUUUAAAUGUUAUUUAUUGUCUGUCUCUCCCAGGACUUCAUGUGACUUUCAUGGGCCUUAGGCAUAUUGCUUCUAUGGGACCCUUCCUCUAUGUAGAAAUGCUAGAAUUUUUAUUUGAAGACUGUAUUCGUAUAAAAACAAUUCUAAUCCAGGCUGGAUUCAUUAUUUUAUAUUCUUUUUUUCUUCUGAUUUUAAAUGAAGUUAAAAUUAAAACAAUUUUGUGGGACCCUGAAAGUAUUACGGGCCCUAUGCACUGUGGCUACUCUGCCUAAUGAGUAAAUCAGCUCCUGAGAGUUCACAACCAGCCUGGGCAACACAGCAAGACCUCGUCUCUACAAAAAAUGUUUUAAAAAAAUUAUCCAGGUGUGGUGGUGCAUGCCUGUAGUCCCAGCUACUCAGGAGGCUGAGACGGGAGGGUUGCUUGAGCCUGGAGUGUCAAGCCUGCAGUGAGCUGUGAUUGUGCCACUACACUGCAAUCUAAGUGACAGAGCGAGAACCUGUCUCAAAAAAAAAAAAAAAAGUGUUAGGGGAAGGACAGCUGAAGUUUCAGAUAGGAUAUCCCAGGAGCAAGGUUUCCUGAGCAGGUGACUCCUGAGUAAAGAGCUAGAAGAGGGAGGGAUAGGCGGUGUUUGAAAUGUAGACAGAGAUUGUUCUUUUAAGAAGGAUCAGCAGGUGCUUAGGCCCUGAGGCAAGAAGGCACUUACUAUGUGAAUGACAGUGAGGAGGCCAGUGUGACUAGAAUGUAUGGACAAGGAGACAAACAAAGGGAAGAGUAGUAAGAGAUGAGGUCAGAGAGUUGACUGGAGGCCAGACCACUGGGAUUGUGUAAGGUUACAGGAAGAACUCUGACUUAUAUUUUGACCUGAUUUAUAUUUUAAAGAGAUCUCUCUAGGUAUUGCAUUUAUUUUGAAGAGAAUAAAUUGAAGGAGGCACAAGCACAAGGUGAAAGACCAGUUAAGAGACCACAGUAACAAUCCAAGUGAGUAAUAAUGGUGACUUGAACCAGUGGAGUUGCAGUGGGAGUGGUGAGAAGUGGAUGGAUUCUGUAACUAUUUUCAAUGUAGUGGUAACAGUCUUUGCUGAUGGGUUGAAUCAGUGUUGUGAGAGAAAAGGAAGGGUCAAAGAUGAAUACAAGUGUUUUGGCCCGAGCAAAAGAAUGGGUGGAGUUACCAUUGAUUGAGAUGGGGGAAGACUGAGGGAGGGAGAGAGGGAGGAGGUAGGUUGGAUGAGAAGAGCAAGUUCUCAAUUAAAAAUGCAGAUGCCCAUGCUGUAAAAGCAAUUGAAGAUGUUCUCGCUAGAAAUAUACUUCUGGGAGUCAUCAGUUUGAUCUCAUUCAGUCAUCAAUUGAAUGUCAUCAGGUGAUGGUAUUCAGUGCCUUGGGAUGGGAAGAGAUCACUGACAGAGUAAGUCCAGAGAGUUGCAAUGUCUUUUAAAUUUUUGUAUGUUCAACAACUAACUCAGUACUUGACUUCCAAUACCUAUUAUUAAUUGAAUGAAGAUGUUUGUACUUGUCCCCCUAGGAGGAAGCUAUGCACAUAAUUUCCAAACUAGUUACUGAGGAAGUGUUAAGCUCCCUUGUUAUAUACACGUAGCUCCCUGAUAAUUUUCUUGGGACAUUUAUUUCAGUUUGCACUUCUAUGUUUAUCUGGAUGAUUAUCUAAGUUAUAGCUCUCCACCUAAGCCUUAUGAGGGUAAAGACCAUAUCCUCUAUUCUUCUUCCCACUGACAUCCAGCACAGCGUCUAAAAUAUAAUGGUUAAUUUGUUGAGCAAAAAAAAAAAGAAAUGGAAAAUACUUUUUUAUAUUAAAGUCAUUUUAUUUGGACUUAUCUAUUGAAUAAACUUGCUUGGACUCUUAAAGUCUACUUUAAAAAAAAAAACAAAAUCUAAUGGGGAAAACCACAAUAACCUAAAUCUUCAUUUUCAACUAGUAGCAUUAAGUUGAUACUCCUUCCUUAUCUGCUCAUCUGCCCAGACCAAUCAUCAAUAGAUAGAGAGUUCACCACAUACUCUCCUUACAAAGUCUGUGUAUAACCUCACACCCUUCCCAGACACUGUCUCAGUUGCCCACUACCACAUCAUCUGAUUGGUACUGAUGACAAAACUCAUCCACUAUCCUUUAUCUAAAUCACAUCAGGUGAUCUCAAAUCAGCUUUAUGCCCCCAUUGGGCUAACUCCAUAAAAAUAAUAUCAUAUUUAUGGAUAUUAUAUCUGCAAAGUCAACAUGGCUAAUUAGCACCCACAUCCAGCAACUCCUUGUUGUUCCUGCCGAAAGGAAAGCCUUUGCUAUCAUUGAGCCAGCUGUCACUUAGUAAUAGUUGGUCUAUGAUGCUACUGCAGCAGAUGCUUCCCAGCCUUCCCUCCCCACAAAUAAAACCCACUAUUUAGUGAAGGGUUCUUUGGUGUCUAGCUUUUAUAGUUCAGAAUUUCUCUUCAGUCCUAGAAUGUUAUUACAUUUCAAAAAAACCAUUCUUUCUGAGAUGUCUGUAUAUUUCUCUGAUAUCAUGAUUUCCUAUAGCAUUAGCUCUCAGAAGUUUUUAACCCAAACUAGCAAGGGUAUUGCUGGUCCAUUGCAACACCCAAACUACAGGAUCCUUUCUAGCCUCCAUUCAUUUCAAAUGAUUCCAGCCCUGAGAAAUCAAAUAAGGAGACUAGAAUUUGGAUGAGAGAGUUUGAGUGCUCUACAGUGCAAGGCUUCAAGGGGUUGGGAGAAUCUGAUUUGAAAAGCAUGUCUGGGUGGAGGAUGCUAGUGGUGCUUUUGAGGUCUGCUCAAGCAAAAGAUGGUAUGAGGCCCCAAGUUCUGGAGCAAUGUGUGCCUGCUUUUUUUGUUAUUUUAAUUACUACUGAUUGUGCAUUUUCUUUGUGCUUAAUAAUUGUAUAGAUUUUAUUAUUCAAUUCCCUCACAAAUCCUACAAUGCAGGUAUUAUCAUUUUUCCCCAUUUUACAGAUGAGGAAACUGGGCACUAAGUUAUAUACUUCAAAAAGUCUCAUAGCUAGCAGAUGGUAUAACCAAUAUUUGAACCUGUAUCUCAGAAUUUGUCCACUUAACUGUUUCCUUAUUUUUGCCUCUUGGUGUUCAGUACCAAAGAGGCUUGCUACUGAAGCCAUACCUUAGGGCAUAAGGAUUGGAAAAGACUUGAAAGUCACGCAAUUCCUAUUUUCCUAUUUUUAUCUGAGGCUAGUCUUACAUCCCCAGAUAAAAUGGGAAACAACUGAACUGUCUUGAUUACUGCUGUUUCCAAUGCCUAGGCAGUGUUUGGUGUACAGGUGCUAGACAAAUAUUAGUGGAAGGAAUACAUGAUUUGGAAUCAGAAGUUCAAAGCCAUCAUCACAUAGUCUUUUUUCCUAGCACCAAUAUUUCCAUAAAUAUUUAAAAACCUCAUGAAAGUCUGUAAAGACUUUCAUGAGGUUUUUAAAAAGAAAUGGCAUUCAGUGGCUAUCUGUGGUUCUCUAAUGUCGUGGUGCUCAGGGUGGAUCUUUGCAGAGCACACUGUCAAAGGACCCCUGUUUAUCAACUUUUUUUUUUUUUUUAGAGACAGGGUCUUGCUCCUGUCACCCAGGCUGGAGUGCAGUUGCAUGAUCAUAACUCACUACACACUCGAACUCCUGGGCUCAAGUGAUCCUUCCGCCUAAGCUUCCCAAGUAGCUAGGACUAGAGGUGUGUGCCACCACAUGUGGCUUGUUUAUUAACUUCUGGAGUGAUCCCUGUGAUUUUAAUUGGAAAAGUACCCUUUGCUUUCUACUCUAAACUUCAGCACAGUACACUGAUGAUGUUUAAACAGCUGCUAGUUUCCACUCUAGAGGAGUCUACUUUUCAGUGAUGAGCAGGAGAAUGCCAAUAAAUAGGGCUGAAGCAGGGUUCCUGGAAUUAGGUGUGAGACUCAGCUUAUCCUUAUGGGAUGUGUCAGGUGAAUCAUAGGGCCGUCAUGGAACUCCUUGCUCACCUACGCUCCUGAGAGUUUAGAAGAUGUCCUCCAUAUCAUUAGUUACAGGACCUAUCUGUAUAUAAUUACUUCCUGGUUUUGACGUAGAUGACCCAAACGACCAAAAUCUUCUGUCAUGAUCAGGCUGUCUUCCAGUGUUUCAGUCAGUUUUGCUGAGAGGCGAUAUUUAGAUAAGCCUUUUAAAACCAGCCAUCUUAUCUAAACUUUUAAGCUCUGUGCUACCUGAAUAUAUGUCUAGCCCAUCCCUUGUAUUAGUUUACUACUGGGCAAAUAUUCAUAAAACAAUGAAAAAGAGUUCUAUAUUGUACUAUUGAAAACCAUACUUGAAGCUAACUCCAUAUCCUUGAUUGCCCAUUCCGCUGUCCUGAUGGAUCUCUUCCCUAUCUUCCCUUUAGUUACCAGAAAAGCCCCCUAGAGUAAUGGUUUUCAACUGGAGGGAAUUUUGCCAUCAGGGGACAUUUGGCAAUGUCUGGAGACAUUUUUGGUUGCCACAACUUGGAGGAUGCUAUGGGAAUCAGAGACCAGGGAUGCUGCUAAACAUCCUUCAAUACACAGAGCAGCCCCACAAUAAAAAUGAUCCUUCUCAAAAUGUCGACAGUGCUGCUGUUGAGAAACUUCACUCUAGAUUAUGGGGGAUGUUAAUAUCAUGGGGGAUCACAAUAAGGACAUCUCUUGUUUACACUUAUCAAAUUUAAUUUUAUUGACAUUAAAAUAAUAAACCUGGUAUUUAUAAAUAGGUAGAGGAAAACACACUGUCUUAACAGAAAUGAUAAAGAUGAAUUAUAAAGCACAACUUCGUGCUAGCCACUCUAUUGGGUCCUUUAUGUGUAUCUUCAUCUCAUCCUUACAAUUCUAUGAAAGAAGUAUUGCUCUUUUCCCCGUUUUACAGGAAGGUAACUGCAGUUCAUAGGUGAAUAAAUGUGCUUAAGUCCACAUGGAUACAAAGGAGUAGAGCCAGGAUUUGGAUCCCAGUAUGACUACAAAGUCCACGUUCUUUCCCCUAUAGCUUCAGAACGAUCUUUUUCCAUUCGGAAGGAGAGCACAGAAAUAAAAUUGUCAAAAAUUUCAAUCUCAUCUUCGAUGACUUUUCUUAUUUCCUUUCAAUUAAUUCACUUGACCAGAAAUUCCUGUUCCACAGCAAGUCAGGCAGAGCAGCCCAUCCCCUGACUCAUUUCCACAGUUUGCAGCCUGCUGUCUCCUGCUUGCCUUUCAAGCACAAUCCUCCCAUGCAUGAGAAAGCUGUGGUGCACUGGAGACAUCACAUUGUUCUUGUGGUUUGUGGCCAAACUCCCUCACUGAGCCUCCCUUUUAACUGUUUCCUGGCUGGUUUGUGAAUGAUUUUGUGGCCUUUUCCCCCAGAAAAUAUCAAAGACUACCAUUUUGAUGUUCCCUGGUGAAGGCAGUGGCCUUUUUUCAAUUUUCUCACUUAUCUAAUAUUGUUGGGAUAAUGUUUAGCCAAGCCCUACCCACCCCAUUUCAGAAUAUCUGCUUAGCUAGGUCUAAAUACGUAUAUAAAACUUUUGAGUCACUUUAAUACUGUACCAUAAGGAUGUAUACUCUUUUACACUAUUAUAAAUAUUUCUUCUGGUUUUCUCAGUAUGAGCAGCCAGGGCUAAUACUUCAGGGAGAUCCUUUUCUUCUCCUUAAACUGAAAUCGUGAUUCCUGUGCUGUGGGGCCUUGAAGAUGAUGAAAUGAAGUUCAUUAAAUUAUCUAGCUGUGAACUCCUAAGAACAAAAGAUUGACUACUUGGCAAAACAAUUUAAUUGAAAUCCUCAUCCACAUCUCAAAAUAAAUUUUACUAAGCUCAGUGAUGUAUAGAAACAAACUAUUCUUUUUUUUUUUUUUUGAGAUGGAAUUUCAUUCUUGUUGCCCAGGCUGGAGUGCAAUGGUGCAAUAUUGGCUCACUGAAACCUCCGCCUCCCGGGUUCAAGUCAUUCUCUUGUCUCAGUCUCUCUAGUAGCUGGAUUACAGGCAGAUGCCAUGAUGCCCAGCUAAUUUUUGUAUUUUUAGUAGAGACAGGGUUUCACCAUGUUGGUCAAGGCUGGUUUCCAACUCCUGACCUCAGGUGAUUCACCUGCCGAGACCCCCCCAAAGUGCUGGGAUUAUAGGCGUGAGCCACCACGUCUGGCCAACAUUCUUAAUACUAGAUGAAAAUAUGGGUGAGUAUUCAUUUUAUCUCUAGAUGAAGAAAGACUUUUAUGUACAAAAGCAAUGAAAAUAUUCUCAAAGGAAUAGAGCAAUCAGUUGAAGAACCGAAGCAUAGUAGACCUUUCUUUAUAAAAAUUAGAAAUAAAAUUAGAAGUCAGCCAUGGAGGUAGAGACUGAAAGGGGGAAGGGGAGGUGUCUGGGUCUAGGAUGCUGAUAGUGCUGUGUUUGUUGAUCUGGGUUUGAUUGCAUGAUAGCUACACUUCUCACUGAGCAGUACACUUAUUUUAUAUUCGUACAUACCUAUAUAGUCAAUAAAAAGUCAAAAGCAAACAGGUAAAAAUAUAUUUCAUGGGUGUGACAGAUAAAUGUAAAAUAAUAAUGAAAUUUUAAUAAUAAAAAAAUUGACCAUGGACAAUAUAAAUGACUAAUAAACACCAAAAGAGUUUAAAAUGUAAUUAUUUCUAAAAAUAAAAGCAAUGUAUGCAUAUGAUUAAAAACUCAACAAUACAGAAUAACAGAAGGAAAAUUAAGUUUACCUCAUUCUUCCUUGACUCAGUCUUGCUCUUCUGGAAGAAAUCACUAUGAACAGGUUCUUCUUCAUUCUUCCAGAAAAUUUCUAUGUAUAUUAAUAAUGGAAUUAUACUAUGGUAAUGUUCAUAUUAUUAUCCUUCCUGAAAAUGUCUAUGCAUAUACAUAUAUAUUUAAACCAAAUGAAAUCAUACUGUACUGCAUAUUCAAUUACUUUUUUUUUUAGCUGAACAAUGUCUUCUGAAGGUUGUUGCUUAUUAGCACAUGAAAUUCUACCUCAAUUUUUUUUAUGGCUUCAGAUUAUUUCAGUAUAUCAUGAUCUAGUUAAAUAUUUCUCUAUUAAUGCACAUUUUUUAGUCUGGUUUUUGUUUUUGUUUUGUGAUUACAAGCAAUGUUGCAAUUAAAAUUUCUACAUUUAUCUUUGGAUAUUCAUUUUAAAAAUUGUCAGAAAAAUUCUUAGAAAUGGAAUUGCUGAGUCAAAGGGAGUUAUAUGUAUAUACACAUAUACACCUUUUGCAUUUUGCAAAAUAUUUUUCAAAUUGCUCUCCAUUACAAUUAUUUGUCAAUUAAAAAAUUUUAAAAAGGCAGGAAAAAAUUGUUCUCUAAGGAGUUUGCUCCAAAAUUUUGUUCUGCAAAAGUGCUGUCUUCCCAUACCUUUCCAAACAUUAGUUAUCUGCAAUUUUAUUAUUUAUUUACAUAUUUUCAUUUUUUAGAGAUUAGGAUCUCACUCUGUCACCCAGGCUAGAGUGCAGGCUAAACUUUUUAAAAAAUUUUUUUGUAGAGACACGGUUUUGCUAUAUUCAUCAGGUUGGUCUGAAACUCCAGGCCAAGGGCAAUUCUUCUGACUUAGUCUUUUGAGUUGUUGGGAUUACGGGCGUGAGCCACUGUGCCCAGCUCAAUUUUAUUAAUCUUUGACAGUCUAAUAGGUUAAAAAUGGCUUUUUAUUUUAAUUUGCAUUUUGUAAUCACAUGCAAAGUUGAGCAUUUAUGAAGAAAUAUUUAACCUCAGAACUUGAGCAGAGUGAGGAGGUUGUCCAUGAUGGACUGGGGUGGGGAGAGAAGAGGGAGCAGCACUGAAUGGAGCCCAGCUGGGUACAUCACUGACAUACGGGGAGUAUUUAAAGCCACCGCAGUGGAUGAGAGGACCAUGGUGAGAGAAAGAAGAGAGAAAAGGCUGAGGAUGGAAUCUGCCUUUGGUUUUAACCUGACCACAGCUUCUCUAAAACCAAGAUAUCCAUUUCUUUCUUAUCCUCACUAAGACCUCCCAACUCACCUAAUUUUCUGACAAAUGACCCGCCAAUAAUGUUUGGGGCUAUUUCACAGGUGAUGGGGUUCAGUUCAUAGGUUUGACCUUUGCUCUAGGAGCAAAGAAUUGCUAACAUUCUCCUUUCAGGUCCCUAGUGGUUUUGAUUCCAUUUGAUUUCUGGCUCAACAGCUAUGGCCUUGUAGAGAGGCCCUCACCUCUCCCCUCAUACUUAUCUGCAUCCCUUUGAAUUUUCCCAGCCUCUCAGAGCAGCUCUGCGGCUGAGAAACAAAGCUGGUGGAUAUUCUCACCAGUUCCACAGCCUGUUGCCAGAGGACUGCUCUAAUUUGGUAUCUGGCUCCAGCUCACCAUCCUCUGACCUGCUUGGAUUCAGCUGGGACUCUGAUUUCCUUGGUUCUACAUUGGCUAUUGCUACCACUCUGGCUCUGAGUGGAGCUUCCUCAAUCUGCCUCUCACUCUCCUACUGCUGCCGAAGGAGACAUUUCUGAAAAUGUGCUGCAGAUGUGAAUAUUUUCUGCAAGUGCCUGUGGCUGACCCAGGCUACUGACGCAGUCAGCCUGCUCAGCACUGCUUCUCUGGAACAAACCCUUGACCCCUCUUCCUUUCUCUCAACUUGGACUUUCAGCCCUUUCUAUCCCACUUUAUCCUGAAGCUCUGCUUGGCUGGCUUAGCUGUUAAUUUUUUUUUUUUUAAAUUCCAUAGCUUUAACUCUUCUAAGAAUUCUGUCAUUGUCUCUUUUGAUAAUUGAGUACUCUCCACCAAUGUAGUCCCCUAGGAGGGGAGGGGUUCAGGAGAGAGGAGAAAAAAACAGAAGAGAAUUAACAUGAAUUAAGCAAAGAUUCUGUGCCAGGCACCAAAGCUAAGGAGCUUCACACGUUAUCUCUUUAAUCUCCUCAAAACUUUGAGAAUGGAUCAUUGUUAGCUCAUUUUACAAACAGGAAAAUGAAAGAUUUGAAAGAUGCCCCUUUUGUCUGGAAGCUUCAGCUAUAUGCCAUCUCAAGUUCCAUCUUCCUGGAAAACCCUUGUAAAUCCACCACUGUUAGGCUUAGCCAUCAUCUCCUUGAUGAAGCCUAUCCCUGACCUCUGCCCAAGACUAUGGAAAUAAUGUUAGACAAAAAGCAAAUUCAAACGAUUUUCUUAUUCAAAUUCAAAAUGGGUCAUAAAGUAGCAGAGACAACUCGCAACAUCAAAAAUGCAUUUGGCCCAGGAACUGCUAAUGAAGAAAUGUACAGUGCAGUGGUGGUUCAGGAAGUUUUGCAAAGCAGAAGAGAGCCUUGAAGAUGAGGAGCAUAGUGGCCAGCCAUCGGAAGUUGACAACGACCAACUGAGAGCACUCAUGGAAGCUGAUCCUCUUACAACCACAUGAGAAGUUGCCCAAGAACUCAACGUCAACCAUUCUAUGGUUGUUCAUCAUUGAAGCAGAUGGAAAGGCAAAGAAGCUCGAUAAAUGGGUGCCUCAUGAGCUCAGCAAACGUAAAAUAAAAUCAUCAUUUUGAAGUAUCAUCUCUUAGUCUACACAACAAUAACGAACCAUUUCUCCAUCGGAUUGUGCAAUGAAAAGUGAAUUUUAUAUGACAACUGGUGAUGACCAGCUCAGUGAUUGGAUCAAGAAAGAAGCUCCAAAGUCCCAAAGCCAAACUUGUUACCAAAAAAAGGUCAUGGUCACUGUUUGGUGAUCUGCUGCCAGUUAUGAUCCUCCACAGCUUUCUGAAUCCCAUUGAAACCAUUACAUCUGAGAAGCAUGCUCAGCAAAUCGAUAAGAUGCACUGAAAACCGCAAUGCCUGCAGCCGGCAUUGGUCAACAGAAAGGGCCCAAUUCACCACGACAAUGCUUGGCGGCACAUCACACAACCAGUGCUUCAAAAGUUGAAUGAAUUGGGCUACAAAGUUUUGCCUCAUCCACCAUAUUCACUUGACCUCUCGCCAACCAACUACCACUUCUUCAAGCAUCUCAACAACUUUUUGCAGGGAAAAUGCUUCCACAACCAGCAGGAUGCAAAAAAUGCUUUCCAAGAGUUUGUCAAAUCCCAAAGCUCGAAUUUUUAUACUGCAGGAAUAAACAAACUUAUUUCUUGUUGGCAAAAAUGUGUUGAUUGUAAUGGUUCCUAUUUUGAGUAAUAAAGAUGUGUUUGAGCCCA